AUUUGUGUAGUUUAAUCAAAACACAACACUGAAGAUGCUGAAACGAAUAUUUACAUUUCCACAAAUA
This 67-nucleotide transfer RNA is filed under the name Siphonops annulatus. RNAcentral describes it as "tRNA-Phe". It matches the Rfam family "tRNA". From Rfam's summary of the family: Transfer RNA (tRNA) molecules are approximately 80 nucleotides in length. Their secondary structure includes four short double-helical elements and three loops (D, anti-codon, and T loops). The record is from RNAcentral. Lineage: Eukaryota; Metazoa; Chordata; Amphibia; Gymnophiona; Siphonopidae.